UUCAAAGGUGAUAGAAACAACCAAGAGCCACGGGAUGAUGAUAGAAAUUUAAUGGCACGAUUUGCUGGUUAUAGUUUUAAUGUAACUAAUUACGAGAUUGUAGCUAUUCUAAGGAGUAUGAGAGAUAAGAUACUUCAUAGUUUUAAUAUUACUAAUUCCGAUUUUGUAGCUGUUCCAAGGAGUAUGGAAGAUAAGGUACAGUGGCCAAAAGAGAUGCGGUCGAACCCAAACAGACGAAACCCAGACCAUUAGUGCGAAUUUCACAACGACCAUGGGCAUAAAACUUCAUAAUGUAGAUUUUUACAAAGUGGAGUAGAUCAUUUUCUGAAACAAGGCUACCUCACGGAGCUGUUCAGUGAAAAAGGAAAGCAAGCCUACAUGAAAAAUAGGUAAGAGCCACCAAAACCACAUUCACCUAUGAGGAUAGUAAAUGUCAUCAGUGGAGGAGAAGAUAUUUACGGAGUAACAUAUACGGCUUCGAACAAAGUUUUCAAAAUGACUAUCACACACGACAAGCGCGUACGGAAAAUCAUAGAACAGGAGAGUAUAAGAUUCGAUGAUGGAGAUACGGAAGGAGUGACUACACCGCAUAACGACGCUCUGGUAAUAUCUUUAAUUAUAUUUGA
RNAcentral lists this long non-coding RNA (626 nucleotides) under Nicotiana benthamiana. RNAcentral describes it as "long non-coding RNA (NBEN_LNC014645)". The record is from RNAcentral. Lineage: Eukaryota; Viridiplantae; Streptophyta; Magnoliopsida; Solanales; Solanaceae.